UACAGAGGGAGCAAGCGUUGUCCGGAAUCAUUGGGCGUAAAGCGCGCGUAGGUGGCCAUGUAAGUCCGCCGUGAAAGUCCAGGGCUCAACCCUGGAAUGCCGGUGGAAACUGUCGGGCUGGAGUCCGGAAGAGGCGAGUGGAAUUCCUGGUGUAGCGGUGAAAUGCGCAGAUAUCAGGAGGAACACCAAUGGCGAAGGCAGCUCGCUGGGACGGUACUGACGCUGAGACGCGAAAGCGUGGGGAGCAAACAGG
RNAcentral lists this ribosomal RNA (253 nucleotides) under uncultured bacterium. RNAcentral describes it as "partial 16S ribosomal RNA". It matches the Rfam family "Bacterial small subunit ribosomal RNA", at positions 524 to 776 of the family's 1533-position model. The record is from RNAcentral.